This 333-nucleotide transfer-messenger RNA is filed under the name Rhodospirillaceae bacterium. It matches the Rfam family "Alphaproteobacteria transfer-messenger RNA". From Rfam's summary of the family: Bacterial tmRNA, also known as 10Sa RNA or SsrA, is named for its dual tRNA and mRNA-like properties. Its role is to liberate the mRNA from a stalled ribosome. To accomplish this part of the tmRNA is used as a reading frame that ends in a translation stop signal. The record is from RNAcentral. Lineage: Bacteria; Pseudomonadati; Pseudomonadota; Alphaproteobacteria; Rhodospirillales; Rhodospirillaceae.
UCCCUUUAAUUUAAGGCCGAAUCACCCUAUAUUAGAAGGGCUGGCUUGCCAGCUAUGGUGAUAAACGACUUGCGUAAUAAACGGAGUGGACCCGGGGGCAGUACCCGGCGCCUCCACCAAAUUUCCGGCUUGGCCGGCCCCUGGUAAGGGGUCCGCACACGGUUUUGGGGGCGAAACAGGAUCGACACACGUGUAAAGACUUGUCUUUUGCCCGGUAUGGUACCGCCGUUAGCGGGCCGUUUUUACAAGAGCCAAUGAUAAUGACUUGGCCCUCGCUGCCUAAUUAGGCAAGCGCGGUUCGGGGGGGCGCCGGGCAACAGAAGCCCCUCCACU